This 574-nucleotide small RNA is filed under the name Rattus norvegicus (Norway rat). Its description in RNAcentral is "uncharacterized LOC102553117". Lineage: Eukaryota; Metazoa; Chordata; Mammalia; Rodentia; Muridae. The record is from RNAcentral.
CCAGCAGAUGGCGCUGCGCAGCACGUUAUGAUCCUGGUGUGCUCGGCUGGCGCUGGGGAGGGGACCUCUCAAAAGUUUUGAGUGUGUGUCCGUGUGUCUCAGUGUGUGUCUCUGUGUGUGUCUGUGUGCCAUUCCUGGGCUGCAACAAUGUUUGUGGAAUUAAGUGGUGAUUUCCUUUAGUCUGAGCCUUAGUUCUGGCUGUGCUAAGGCGUCGAUGUUAAAGUUUACCACACGGCAUCUUUCUUUUUCCUAGUGAAACCAGGAGUUUCAAACACACAUGAUACCCUCACCCUUACUGUUGGCUGUGAGCUAGCGCAGGUCUGCAUUUUCUGAUCAAAUCGCUUGUUCAGCCUCCAUAUUAGCAGACAACAUGCUCUGGGAGACAAAGAAGUGCUGAAAAGGAAAAAAAAGUAAACAAGGCCAGUCUGCACGCAACUCCAAUAAGAUACAUGUAGCAUUGUUUGGGAUAAUGGAUUUGAUGGGAGUGAAAACAGCGGGGGAUUAAAUGGACCUAGAACGGCUUGCAGAAGAACCCAGCUACAUUUUAUACAAAAGAAAGAAAGAAAGAAAGAAA